GGACGAGGACGACCUCACCAUCAUGGAUGAUCAUUCGGGACGACCCGG
This 48-nucleotide non-coding RNA is filed under the name Ruegeria sp. ANG-S4. RNAcentral's name for it is "Guanidine-II riboswitch aptamer (mini-ykkC)". It matches the Rfam family "Guanidine-II riboswitch aptamer (mini-ykkC)". Rfam says of the family: Simpler in structure and has fewer highly conserved nucleotide positions than the ykkC-yxkD leader. Despite this each of its two stem-loop structures directly bind free guanidine. RNAcentral also lists the same sequence under 1 other name. Lineage: Bacteria; Pseudomonadati; Pseudomonadota; Alphaproteobacteria; Rhodobacterales; Roseobacteraceae. The record is from Rfam by way of RNAcentral.